AGUGAACGCUGACAGAAUGCUUAACACAUGCAAGUCAACUUGAAUUUGGGUUUUUAACUUAGAUUUGGGUGGCGGACGGGUGAGUAACGCGUAAAGAACUUGCCUCACAGCUAGGGACAACAUUUAGAAAUGAAUGCUAAUACCUGAUAUUAUGAUUUUAAGGCAUCUUAGAAUUAUGAAAGCUAUAUGCACUGUGAGAGAGCUUUGCGUCCCAUUAGUUAGUUGGAGAGGUAACAGCUCACCAAGGCGAUGAUGGGUAGCCGGCCUGAGAGGGUGAACGGCCACAAGGGGACUGAGACACGGCCCUUACUCCUACGGGAGGCAGCAGUGGGGAAUAUUGGACAAUGGACCGAGAGUCUGAUCCAGCAAUUCUGUGUGCACGAUGAAGUUUUUCGGAAUGUAAAGUGCUUUCAGUUGGAAAGAAAGAAAUGACGGUACCAACAGAAGAAGUGACGGCUAAAUACGUGCCAGCAGCCGCGGUAAUACGUAUGUCACGAGCGUUAUCCGGAUUUAUUGGGCGUAAAGCGCGUCUAGGUGGUUAUGUAAGUCUGAUGUGAAAAUGCAGAGCUCAACUCUGUAUUGCGUUGGAAAACUGUAUAACUAGAGUACUGGAGAGGUAAGCGGAACUACAAGUGUAGAGGUGAAAUUCGUAGAUAUUUGUAGGAAUGCCGAUGGGGAAGCCAGCUUACUGGACAGAUACUGACGCUAAAGCGCGAAAGCGUGGGUAGCAAACAGGG
RNAcentral lists this ribosomal RNA (737 nucleotides) under uncultured Fusobacterium sp. RNAcentral describes it as "bacterial SSU rRNA". It matches the Rfam family "Bacterial small subunit ribosomal RNA", at positions 28 to 777 of the family's 1533-position model. The record is from RNAcentral. Lineage: Bacteria; Fusobacteriati; Fusobacteriota; Fusobacteriia; Fusobacteriales; Fusobacteriaceae.